RNAcentral lists this transfer RNA (74 nucleotides) under Boldia erythrosiphon. RNAcentral describes it as "tRNA-Pro". It matches the Rfam family "tRNA". From Rfam's summary of the family: Transfer RNA (tRNA) molecules are approximately 80 nucleotides in length. Lineage: Eukaryota; Rhodophyta; Compsopogonophyceae; Compsopogonales; Boldiaceae. The record is from RNAcentral.
CGGGAUGUAGCGCAGCUUGGUAGCGCAUCUGCUUUGGGAGCAGAAUGUCGCAGGUUCAAAUCCUGUCAUCCCGA